GCGGAAGUAGCUCAUUUGGUAGAGCACGACCUUGCCAAGGUCGGGGUAGCCGGUUCAAACCCGGUCUUCCGCU
Molecule: transfer RNA, 73 nt
Filed under: Chitinophagaceae bacterium
Lineage: Bacteria; Pseudomonadati; Bacteroidota; Chitinophagia; Chitinophagales; Chitinophagaceae
Description: tRNA-Gly
Rfam family: tRNA
About the family: Transfer RNA (tRNA) molecules are approximately 80 nucleotides in length. Their secondary structure includes four short double-helical elements and three loops (D, anti-codon, and T loops). Further hydrogen bonds mediate the characteristic L-shaped molecular structure. tRNAs have two regions of fundamental functional importance: the anti-codon, which is responsible for specific mRNA codon recognition, and the 3' end, to which the tRNAs corresponding amino acid is attached (by aminoacyl-tRNA synthetases). tRNAs cope with the degeneracy of the genetic code in two manners: having more than one tRNA (with a specific anti-codon) for a particular amino acid; and 'wobble' base-pairing, i.e. permitting non-standard base-pairing at the 3rd anti-codon position.
Source: RNAcentral